UACAGAGGUCUCAAGCGUUGUUCGGAUUCAUUGGGCGUAAAGGGUGCGUAGGUGGCGCGCUAAGUCAGGUGUGAAAUCUCGGGGCUUAACUCCGAAACUGCAUUUGAUACUGGCGUGCUUGAGGACUGGAGAGGAGACUGGAAUUCAUGGUGUAGCAGUGAAAUGCGUAGAGGUCAUGAGGAAGACCAGUGGCGAAGGCGGGUCUCUGGGCCGGUACUGACGCUGAGGAGCGAAAGCGUGGGGAGCGAACAGG
Molecule: ribosomal RNA, 253 nt
Filed under: uncultured bacterium
Lineage: Bacteria
Description: partial 16S ribosomal RNA
Rfam family: Bacterial small subunit ribosomal RNA
Source: RNAcentral